UAAUAAGUGUUUUAUGGCACUUUUUAAAUCCAUAUCCACCUUGUGUGCAAUGUCAGUCGGUUUUCUUUUUCGUCAAGAAAAAAAGGAUCGACCAAACAUCAACCUUAUUUAAUUGAACUCUUUGUCUGAAAAAUAUUAUGAAUAAACUAAUUCAAAAUA
RNAcentral lists this unclassified non-coding RNA (159 nucleotides) under soil metagenome. RNAcentral describes it as "partial internal transcribed spacer 1". The record is from RNAcentral.